This 253-nucleotide ribosomal RNA is filed under the name uncultured bacterium. Its description in RNAcentral is "partial 16S ribosomal RNA". It matches the Rfam family "Bacterial small subunit ribosomal RNA", at positions 524 to 776 of the family's 1533-position model. The record is from RNAcentral.
UACGUAGGGUGCGAGCGUUGUCCGGAAUUAUUGGGCGUAAAGAGCUCGUAGGCGGCCUGUCGCGUCUGCUGUGAAAUCCCGGGGCUCAACCCCGGGCCUGCAGUGGAUACGGGCUGGCUGGAGGCAGGCAGGGGAGAACGGAAUUCCUGGUGUAGCGGUGAAAUGCGCAGAUAUCAGGAGGAACACCGGUGGCGAAGGCGGUUCUCUGGGCCUGUUCUGACGCUGAGGAGCGAAAGCGUGGGGAGCGAACAGG